GAGUUGACAAACUUAAAGUAGAAUAAAUUUAACGAUACAUUAGUCAGGAACGAAAAAAGUAAUUGCAUUAUUUCUUAGUCGAUUUUUAUGUUUUCUCAAAAUCGGAACUUAUAGCCCCGGUCUCCCUUAGAAUAAGAAACGAUUAACGAUUAACUGUUUUAUUUCUAAUUUUUUACACAUGAAAUUUUUUUAAUAUACUGCUUAGAUUCUUCCAAUUGUGCGCGCAAUAAAUGUUAUGCAAUUUUUUUUUAACUGCGACAAAGGAGAAAAAGGGAAUGAAGAUGAAGAAACAGAAGUAGAAACGGAAGAAUUUCAAGAAGAAUCGCAUUAAAAGAUUUUUUAUGGGAUUGUGAACAAUGAAUUACGUAGGGCCAUCGAGGAAGUGACAUCUCACAGUGCAAGAUGUAUUGUGCUGUGAUAUAUUGUAUGCAAUCAUCAUCUUGCAUACAAUACAUACAAUUAAAUUAUUACAAUACAAUAAAUACAAUUUAAAUUAUUUUUCUUGUGCAAGGAAGAUUGAAUAGGAAAUAGAGGAAAACCAUCACCGUUGGCCACGAUACUACACGAUUCCACGGAUGAUUCGCCGCAAAACAAUUCAAUAUAGACUAUAAUCUUUCACAAUAAAUAUUAAAUAAAUAAAUGUAAUCGAGAUUA
Megalopta genalis is the source of this 654-nucleotide non-coding RNA. The record is from RefSeq and is a predicted model, not a curated record. Lineage: Eukaryota; Metazoa; Arthropoda; Insecta; Hymenoptera; Halictidae.